GUCAGCUCGUGUCGUGAGAUGUUGGGUUAAGUCCCGCAACGAGCGCAACCCUUGCCAUUAGUUGCUACGAAAGGGCACUCUAAUGGGACUGCCGGUGACAAACCGGAGGAAGGUGGGGAUGACGUCAAGUCCUCAUGGCCCUAAUAGGUGGGGCUAGAAACGUCAUACAAUGGCCGGUACAAAGGGUAGCCAAGCCGCGAGGUGGAGCCAAUCCCAUAAAGCCGGUCGUAGUCCGGAUCGCAGUCUGCAACUCGACUGCGUGAAGUCGGAAUCGCUAGUAAUCGUGAAUCAGCAUGCCACGGUGAAUACGUUCCCGGGCCUUGUACACACCGCCCGU
RNAcentral lists this ribosomal RNA (337 nucleotides) under uncultured bacterium. RNAcentral describes it as "bacterial SSU rRNA". It matches the Rfam family "Bacterial small subunit ribosomal RNA", at positions 1054 to 1397 of the family's 1533-position model. The record is from RNAcentral.